Molecule: transfer RNA, 77 nt
Filed under: Nanobdellota archaeon
Lineage: Archaea; Nanobdellati; Nanobdellota
Description: tRNA-Lys
Rfam family: tRNA
About the family: Transfer RNA (tRNA) molecules are approximately 80 nucleotides in length.
Source: RNAcentral
GAGCCGGUAGCUCAGCCUGGUAGAGCACCUGACUUUUAAUCAGGUGGUCGCGAGUUCAAAUCUCGUCCGGCUCGCCA